UUGAUUUGGACGUGUAAUUUGCCUUGCAAUAGCUUGCAUUUAAAAAUUCAAUGUGAAUUCUCCAUUUGUACCUAAAUAAUCAUCUCUUCAAAAGUGCCACUUAGAAGAUCCAAGCAUAAGCAUAUAGGUAAUGGUUGGAAUGGUCUUUGUAUGAGGAACAAAUGUUAUGUUGGACAAAAACUCAUUUGGGAUGGGGUUAUGAAAAUUGAGUUUAAAGUGUGAUGUGCAAAACAUGUCAAUGCAAGAUUUCUAAUUUUGGCCAACUUUCAAGGC
RNAcentral lists this long non-coding RNA (273 nucleotides) under Lathyrus oleraceus (garden pea). Its description in RNAcentral is "Pisum sativum (pea) long non-coding RNA (PSAT_LNC031854)". The record is from RNAcentral. Lineage: Eukaryota; Viridiplantae; Streptophyta; Magnoliopsida; Fabales; Fabaceae.